Prinia subflava (tawny-flanked prinia) is the source of this 1019-nucleotide long non-coding RNA. RefSeq lists it as uncharacterized. Lineage: Eukaryota; Metazoa; Chordata; Aves; Passeriformes; Cisticolidae. The transcript has 3 exons. The record is from RefSeq and is a predicted model, not a curated record.
UUAAACUAUAAAAAUCACGAAUCGACUCUGUAUGCUUUGGACAUCAGAUUUGGGUGUAUUAUCACCCCGGUGUCCCGCGCGCUGGAAUAAAGAGCCGCAUAUGAUCGCCUCUGUGUGGUUAUAUGUUUUCCUACGCUAACAUUUUUGGCGACCCAGGACGGGACCUUGUGGGCGCAGCCAGGACCCCGCGACCCGAUCACGCUCCAGCCGGCACCGGGUGAUUUCUCGGGGAGCCCAUCGGAGCCGCGACCCUCGCCGCUCACAACGACCCCUGGUGAGAGCUCGGCUCCGAAGUGUUCUCGUGUGGAACAGACCACUGGCCCUGGAGAAUCCAGUCCACAAUAUCGAACCAGGAGAUGAGGUAUACAUCAAAACCUAGAACGAAGAACCACUAAAAGAGAAGUGGACUGGUCCCCAUCAGUAAUUUGGUCAGUUUACAGAAUCCUGAAGAGAGAGAUACAGAAAAAGGCAUCUUGGAACAGGACCAUAAUGAAGGCAUUGGCACGGAACCCAGCACCUUCAAUCCGCAACAACAUCCCGGACAAAGCCUAUGACAACAGAGGAUUUGAAGAUGAACAUCCAGUAUGAACUCUGAAGCCUAAUGGACUGUAUUAAGUGAAAGCAUUUACACUUAGUAUAUUAGAGUGAAAAUACUUUCAAAGGGGGGAAUGUUGGUGGAGGGUUAAAAAAUAUAAUUUCUAGAUUGAGUAAUGUAUAGGGGGAGGAAAGUAGAGAACGUACAACUGGAACUUGACGCAGCUAGCUGGGAACAAGCGUCAACAGCUCCAUGCUAUUGUUUUAACCAAAUCAAGUGUGGAUCAGGGUAGAAGCGUAGGUAUGAUUUAAGAUAGUAACUAAGGAAUAGGAUAAUCAGUAUCUAGGGGUGGGGGUUAGUUAACAUGUGUAUAAUUUAAACUAUAAAAAUCACGAAUCGACUCUGUAUGCUUUGGACAUCAGAUUUGGGUGUAUUAUCACCCCGGUGUCCCGCGCGCUGGAAUAAAGAACCGCAUAUGAUCGCC